CGACGGCGGUCUCUUUGAUGUUGAAGGGUUCAAAUUUGUGGCCUACUGACCUACUUACGAUGCGUCCGCCAUCUUACUGGUUGGAAUAUUAAAUGUGCGAAUUUUAAAGCACGUUUAUUUUUCGUGAAAUAAUAGGCAAAUUGUAUAUAUAUUUUCUUUUGGAGUUUUAAUAAUUGCACUUUAAUAAAUUAGGAAAAUUUAUUUUGAGCACAAUCGGAUUCAUCGAACAUAAGUGAGGUUAAGUUAAAGGGAAUUGUAAACAAUAACACCAACCUAUAAGAUGGCGACGCCAGAAAAAUCAAUUAAGGCGGGAUACCCCCAGUGUCCUUUCUGGUUAUUCUGUGCUGGAGUGACAUCUGGACGCCAUUCUGGUUUGCAUUCAAAGCAAUUCAAAGAAGAGUUGAUCUCCAAGAAGUUUCUUUUGUGGUUUUUUCAUAAACAGCGCUGUAGAAAUGUCCGAACAUUGCAUAUGGAAUGUCUCUUGUAACGUGUACGUGAAAACUUCCGUCAAUCGUCAUCGAAAAAAACAAAAAAGAGGUAGAUUUUAAAUUCUGCAUUUCCAAGAUGAUUAAGAACAAGAUGUUGGCAUGGAUGAGGAUGGCGCACCACCAUACUAUGCCCUUCCUGUUUGAGUUUAUUUAAACCAAUUAUUUUCUAAUGGAUGGAAUGGGAGAAGUGACCCGAUUGAUUGGACUGCGAUAUCACCAGAUUUGGCUCUGCCGGACUUCUUCCUUUAAGGACCAAACCAAAUUUUACACCACUGGACCAAACACUUCGGAUGAACAAAAAAUCAGAAUCAGAAGUUUAGCAAAUAAUUCUUGAUACCUUAGAGAAUUGUCAAGAAGAAUUUAAAAAUCGUUUAGGAGCUGCCCAAGGUGAGGUCUUUAAAAGUAUAGAUAGUACCGAUUUGUCUCAAUUGUGCACUAGUUAACGGUGCACUGAAAUUAAAAACACCUUCAAGAAAGUUAUUUUAAUUAGCAAUGUAAUGACACCAACUAUGGUUUUCUUGAAGUCUAACUUUUGAAGACAAUUCCUCAGUUUAACAGGCUCAUUCUUAGUCUUUGUUAUAAGCUUAGCUACCUAUCUUCGCGACGACAUUUGUUUUUGAAUAAAAUAAUCAUUAAGUAGAUCAAACUCAAUACUCAAGACUCAUGAAUAACGUAGUGGAUUUUAAUGGAACCUAUGAAUUUAAAUUAUUAUGUGAAAAAAUAGUUGGCUAUUUCGCAUUAGAAACGAACGUUUCGUAUAAAAAUUUGUUACAUUCAAAAAUUAAAAAAAUUGUUUUGUUUUUUUUAUGUGUUGUUAACUUGGAUUGUUUGGGUGAAUUAUGGGUUGCAUAAUUACGUAAUUAUUAAAUUUAUUUUUAGCGUUUAUUUAUAUUUUAUUAUGUUAUUAAAAUUCUCUUUUACAGCAGCAUACUUCUGGUAUUCCUAAUUUUUUUCCUAAUUUUGAAUUUCGUCCUUUGUUGUUGAGAGGGUGUUGAUUCUUAAGUUUUGCACAGGUGUAAUUUUUUUUUCUUAAUCCUACUCAUAUAAAAGUCUCUCUUUCAAAAACCAGAUGGUGAAUACUAAAUCACGUGUGCUUUUUGGAAAUUUUGGUUGAAUCGCCAUUUUUGGAGAGUUUUGUGAUUUUUCUAAAUCCAUAUUUUUGGGAUUCAUCACCAGUGAUUGUUUUUGAAAAAAGUGAUUUUCUUUUCUCAUAAUUUUCGAUAUUUCCGGAUUUAAAAGUAUUUUCCUGUUACCACGUUUUCUUCUGGUUAAAUCCUCGAACACCGGAGAUAAGUUUUUCAAGAUUUCUUUUAAUUCACGCGUCCUUUUACCUAUCAACCAAUCAACCUUUCGCCAAAUGUAAUACAAAAAAAAAUUAAACUAUCCUAAAAUCUAAUUUUC
Molecule: non-coding RNA, 1889 nt
Organism: Onthophagus taurus
Lineage: Eukaryota; Metazoa; Arthropoda; Insecta; Coleoptera; Scarabaeidae
Source: RefSeq, a predicted model, not a curated record